GAUGAACGCUAGCGGCAGGCCUAACACAUGCAAGUCGAGGGGUAACAUAGAAAAGCUUGCUUUUCCGAUGACGACCGGCGCACGGGUGCGUAACGCGUAUACAACCUACCUUUUAGCGGGGAAUAGCCCAGGGAAACUUGGAUUAAUGACCCCAUAGUAUAUAGACUUCUCCUGAAGUUUAUAUUAAACAUUUAUGGCUAUUAGAUGGGUAUGCGUCCUAUUAGUUAGUUGGUAAGGUAACGGCUUACCAAGGCAGCGAUAGGUAGGGGUCCUGAGAGGGAGAUCCCCACACUGGUACUGAGACACGGACCAGACUCCUACGGGAGGCAGCAGUGAGGAAUAUUGGACAAUGGGCGAGAGCCUGAUCCAGCCAUGCCGCGUGCAGGAAGACUGCCCUAUGGGUUGUAAACUGCUUUUACAGAGGAAGAACCACCCCCACGUGUGGGGGUUUGACGGUACUCUGCGAAUAAGGAUCGGCUAACUCCGUG
This 488-nucleotide ribosomal RNA is filed under the name uncultured bacterium. Its description in RNAcentral is "bacterial SSU rRNA". It matches the Rfam family "Bacterial small subunit ribosomal RNA", at positions 28 to 507 of the family's 1533-position model. The record is from RNAcentral.